CCUACGGGCGGCAGCAGUGAGGAAUAUUGGUCAAUGGGCGCGAGCCUGAACCAGCCAAGUAGCGUGAAGGACGACUGCCCUACGGGUUGUAAACUUCUUUUAUAAAGGAAUAAAGUGAGGCACGUGUGCCUUUUUGUAUGUACUUUAUGAAUAAGGAUCGGCUAACUCCGUGCCAGCAGCCGCGGUAAUACGGAGGAUCCGAGCGUUAUCCGGAUUUAUUGGGUUUAAAGGGAGCGUAGAUGGGUUGUUAAGUCAGUUGUGAAAGUUUCGGGCUAAACGAGAAAAUUGCAUUUAAUACGGGUGACAUAGAGAGUAGAUGAGGUAGGCGGAAUGGAGGGGGUAGCGGGGAAAUGUU
RNAcentral lists this ribosomal RNA (355 nucleotides) under uncultured bacterium. RNAcentral's name for it is "partial 16S ribosomal RNA". It matches the Rfam family "Bacterial small subunit ribosomal RNA", at positions 338 to 690 of the family's 1533-position model. The record is from RNAcentral.